RNAcentral lists this unclassified non-coding RNA (193 nucleotides) under uncultured fungus. Its description in RNAcentral is "sequence contains ITS1". The record is from RNAcentral. Lineage: Eukaryota; Fungi.
AUCUUUAUUUUUAUCAUUCAAAAUACAUAUAUUUUAAGAGUGGGUUUUAAAUAUAAAUUCAUCUUGCUCCUAUUUGGAAAUAGGAUUAUUUGGUAAAAGUUUACUACUUUACAUUGAGACACAAGAGCAACAGUUAUAAGUAGUAAACCCGACCCAAAUAAUAAUGAUCCUUCCGCAGGUUCACCUACGGAAA